GAUGAAGAACGCAGUGAAAUGCGAUACUUGGUGUGAAUUGCAGAAUCCCGUGAACCAUCGAGUCUUUGAACGCAAGUUGCGCCUCAAGCCAUUAGGUUGAGGGCACGUCUGCCUGGGCGUCACAUAUCGUUGCCUGAUGCCAGUUUCCUCGUGAUGGGUGACUGUGCAGGGCGAAUGAUGGCUUCCCGUGAGCAUUGUUGCCUCAUGGUUGGUUGAAAAUUGAGUCCUUGGUAGGGAGCGCCGUGAUAGAUGGUGGUUGAGUGACGAACGAGACCCAAUCAUGUGAGACCCCUACCGAAUUUGGCCUUCAUGACCCACAUGCGUCUUUGGAACGCUCAUGACGAGACCUCAGGUCAGGCGGGGCUACCCGCUGAGUUUAAGCAUAUCAAUAAGCGGAGGA
Molecule: unclassified non-coding RNA, 400 nt
Filed under: soil metagenome
Description: partial contains 5.8S ribosomal RNA, internal transcribed spacer 2, and large subunit ribosomal RNA
Rfam family: 5.8S ribosomal RNA (bases 1-122)
Source: RNAcentral